RNAcentral lists this unclassified non-coding RNA (400 nucleotides) under soil metagenome. Its description in RNAcentral is "partial contains 5.8S ribosomal RNA, internal transcribed spacer 2, and large subunit ribosomal RNA". The stretch from base 1 to 122 matches the Rfam family "5.8S ribosomal RNA", at positions 35 to 154 of the family's 154-position model. The record is from RNAcentral.
GAUGAAGAACGCAGCGAAAUGCGAUACUUGGUGUGAAUUGCAGAAUCCCGUGAACCAUCGAGUCUUUGAACGCAAGUUGCGCCUCAAGCCAUUAGGUUGAGGGCACGUCUGCCUGGGCGUCACAUAUCGUUGCCUGAUGCCAGUUUCCUCGUGAUGGGUGACUGUGCAGGGCGAAUGAUGGCUUCCAGUGAGCAUUGUUGCCUCAUGGUUGGUUGAAAAUUGAGUCCUUGGUAGGGAGCGCCGUGAUAGAUGGUGGUUGAGUGACGAACGAGACCCAAUCAUGUGAGACCCCUACCGAAUUUGGCCUUCAUAACCCACAUGCGUCUUUGGAACGCUCAUGACGAGACCUCAGGUCAGGCGGGGCUACCCGCUGAGUUUAAGCAUAUCAAUAAGCGGAGGA